AAGAUGAAGAGGAUGCGGGGGGGCCCAGGGCAGGCAGCCUCCUGGGAUCCUUCAGUGUGUACUGGCACGGUUGUGACGGUGAUUGAUACUAGCUCGCCGGGUUGGAAGACGGAGAAACAUUUCAGGAAGGGGAUGGUGUCGAAAAGAAGGGAGAAGGUGUGGAAUGUAAGCAGAAAGAAGAGAAAAUUUGGCUCGGCAGAAAAGUUUAUUGUGGAGAAGGAGAGGGCCGAGAGGCUACGGCCUCUGGCCGAGUUGAAGGAACGGGAGCAGAACGAGAAUGCUGAGCCGCACAAUGAAGAGAGGGGUGAUUUGAAUCUCGGCGUUUGAUAUCAAUAACUUUUGUCAUAAAGGUCAAAUCUGCCAUUGCUCUAUUGUGGCAUCUCCCAUCCAUGCACCGGAAGAGUGGGCUCAAAGUAUGGUUGUCGUCCAAAAUGCAAGCAAAAGAAAAUGGAAUGGAACUUACUUUUUUCACUACAUAAUAUAAAUUUCUCAAUAACAGUGGCAUCUCCCAUCCAUGCACCGGUAGAGUGGGCUCAAAGUAGGUUCUGGAACCAUCAAUGGAGAGAGUACCAAAGAAUCUGUUCAACAUAUUCAAAUUCAUAGAAGGGCAAAGUUUCUAAGAUCCCCCAGGUUACUUGUAAAAAAACACAUCACUCUUUCGCCUGCAUGUUAUUACUAGAAGCCUAAGUCUGAGUUGCCAACCCACUCCUGAAGGCAAAGCAUGAUCAAAUUAAAGGAUUUUUGGGGUUUAAAGCUUCCAACUCCUACAACAUGGGAGUAUUUUUAGUUGUAAAUUUUUCCGGCGCCAAGUUGACGAAGUUCUAAACCAUUCAUCGAGGCGAUGAAGAUUCGUUCGCCAAGAGUUUGCCAAGUAAAAGGGAUGAACUUGUUCAUGAAGAUCGUCAAGGUAAUUUUUUUUUUCUUUUUUUCUUUUUUUUUUUUGAUUCCUUCUUCAGUACAGAACACUGAUGCCUGCUGUUUUGUAAAAAAAAUUAUACUUACUGAGGAGCUAAAAUGGUUAUCAGAAGAUAAACCCUCAUUCUUGUUGCUGAACCUUCAAUCAUUGCAUCUUGGUAGAACUGAUUGUAAUUUAAUCAUAUAGUGCUAACAGAUGGUUGACCAGAGCUCCCAUCAAUCCUGUUCUGCACUAGCAAAUUAUAUCCUGUAGUGUUGGUCUGUUUCCAUUAAAAGAAAUCCCAGAUGCGUUAUCCUGUAUUGGAAUAUGUAGU
Molecule: RNA transcript, 1229 nt
Organism: Phalaenopsis equestris
Lineage: Eukaryota; Viridiplantae; Streptophyta; Magnoliopsida; Asparagales; Orchidaceae
Exons: 5
Source: RefSeq, a predicted model, not a curated record